CUUCUGUGUUCAGCAGUGCAGAAGCUCUCUGAACCCUGUACUUCAGGGAUUGUUAUGGAGGUUUCAUCAUGUAGGCAUGAUUGAUUAAGUCAUUGGCCAUUGGUGAUCAACUCAACUUUUAACCCCUUUCCCCAUCCCCGGAGAUCUGAGGGUAGAGCUAAAAGUUCCAACCUUCUAUUCACAUGGUUGGCUCCCCUGGCAACCAGUCCCCAUUCUGAGGCUAUUCAGGAGCCCGCCAAGAGUUACCUCGUUAGAGCAAAAGAUGCUACUAUCACUUAGGAAAUUACAAAGGUUUUAGGAGGUGAAACAGUCGCAAAUGGAAUUCCAAGAAACAUUCUAUCAUCAGGUAUUAUCUACUGCUGUCUGCAGAAUUCAGACAUGGAGGGCUCAAUGGUGUCCCCUGGUCUUUGGAACAUUCUGUAUUUUAAUGAUCAUGAUACACUGCCUCUAGGACUGGGACAGAUAGCCACUGAGUACCUGCUUCAAAUCACCCUGCACGUUUUCUCUUUGGAAAGAUAAGCACUGGAGAACCAUCUCGUUACCUUCAGCAGAAAUGGAAACAAAUCAAGACAUUAAGAAUGCCGCAGUGGACAGCAGUUAUGCAAGGUUCAGCAGAGGAAGUUUUCAAGAUGGUGUGCCUCACUAGCCAGAAAUCAGAAAAGAUCGAAGCUAGCCUUUUCAUCUCAGCUGCUCCUUAAAUCAGUGCAACCCCUCCAAAUUAAUGUGAAUUGAAACUUGCAUUGCUUUUCAACUUAAUUGAAUACUUACUAUAUGUGAACCACUGCACAAAAUAGGGGAAGAAGAUGUGGGAGACAAAGAUGUGGAGCCUGUCUUCAAUAAAUUUACAGUUAGUUUCAGGGUACAUUGUUUUUCUUCUGCUGUUAAUUAGGUGUAUCCCCAAGACAAUAAAUACAUGAAUGGAAAAGUAUAUUCUGUGUUUUAAGUCUCUUUAAUAAAAAACAAAACAAAAUCCAAAAAAACUCCUAACAUGGCAACUCAGGACAUUUUAAUCCUUUUUUUUGUUGUUGGGCUUCUGAUAGGAUCCAUUUUAUUGAUUCCAUAAAUAUUUAGUAGACUUUAGACAUAUUAAUACAUUGUAGUUUGAGUUAAUUUGCAUUAAAUUCUGUUUUUUUCCCCUUAGGUAUAGAUUGUCUGUUGGAAAAAUAUAUUGCUUGUGGAUUUCUUGGGGAGUGGGAAGGUGAAUUAUACCUGUUGUCUCUACAGUCCACUACCUUCCACACCCUAGGGCAGUGGUCCCCAACCUUCUUGGCACCAGGGAUCAGUUUCCUGGAAGACAAUUUUUCUGUGGAUGGUGUGGGGAUGGUUUUGGGAUGGAACUGUUCCACCUCAGAUCAUCAGGCAUUAGUUAGGCUCUCAUAACGAGUGCGCAGCCUAGAUCCCUCACAUGCACAGUUCACAGUAGGGUUUGCGCUGCUAUGAGAAUCUAAGGCUGCCACUGAUCUGACAGGAGGCAGAACUCAGGUGGCAAUGCUUACUGGCCCACUGCUCACCUCUUGCUGUGCGGCCUGGUUCCUAAUAGGCCAUGGACCCCCACAGACGGGUACUAGUCUGCAGCCUGUGGACCCCAGCCCUAGGGGCCUGCCAUUCUGAGUGAGUUAUUAGCAUGAAGAAGAGGAAGAUCUGGAUCAAACGUGGGUGAUGGUACUCAGAGACCCAAGAUAGGAUAGGGAUGGAACAAAAUCCAUCUGGGCAACGGCUCUAUGAAAAUUUGGCUAAGUAAUUAUUUCAGUAUUCAUUGUAUUCAUUGUCCUUCGUGUUCCAUAAGUUAAAUGACUGUCUAAUUUUUCCAAAAAUUUAUUUCUGACUUGAGAAUAAGUGUGUCAUGAUUUUCCCAGUGUAAAGACACUGAUAUAACUGUAGAUACCAGACAUUUUAUGUAGUGUCUAUGACACAUUUUAGUAUGUAUGAGCCAACAAUAGACAUGUCUUUGUCUUGAGGAGUGUCCAUCUGAAUUGAAAAUGUGUCAGCUUUUUUUUAACAUCAUCAACAGACUUCUUAAUUAAGCUGCCAAUACAUACUGCCA
RNAcentral lists this long non-coding RNA (2044 nucleotides) under Homo sapiens (human). RNAcentral describes it as "HSALNT0328318". Lineage: Eukaryota; Metazoa; Chordata; Mammalia; Primates; Hominidae. The record is from RNAcentral.